AUCCAGCUGGCGAGUCCCAAACAGGACGAAAUGCGCAUCCUGGAU
RNAcentral lists this non-coding RNA (45 nucleotides) under Trichobilharzia regenti. Lineage: Eukaryota; Metazoa; Platyhelminthes; Trematoda; Strigeidida; Schistosomatidae. The record is from RNAcentral.